CCUACGGGAGGCAGCAGUGAGGAAUAUUGGUCAAUGGGCGAGAGCCUGAACCAGCCAAGUCGCGUGAGGGAGUACUGCCCUAUGGGUUGUAAACCUCUUUUGUCGGGGAGCAAAAGCCGGACGUGUCCGGCUGUGAGAGUACCCGAAGAAAAAGCAUCGGCUAACUCCGUGCCAGCAGCCGCGGUAAUACGGAGGAUGCGAGCGUUAUCCGGAUUUAUUGGGUUUAAAGGGUGCGUAGGUGGUUAAUUAAGUCAGCGGUGAAAGUUUGUGGCUCAACCAUAAAAUUGCCGUUGAAACUGGCUGUCUUGAGAUGUCGAGAGGUAUGCGGAAUGCGCAGUGUAGCGGUGAAAUGCUUAGAUAUUGCGCAGAACUCCGAUUGCGAAGGCAGCAUACCGGCGGCGAUCUGACGCUGAGGCACGAAAGCGUGGGUAUCGAACAGGAUUAGAUACCCGGGUAGUC
RNAcentral lists this ribosomal RNA (459 nucleotides) under uncultured bacterium. Its description in RNAcentral is "partial 16S ribosomal RNA". It matches the Rfam family "Bacterial small subunit ribosomal RNA", at positions 338 to 795 of the family's 1533-position model. The record is from RNAcentral.